This 253-nucleotide ribosomal RNA is filed under the name uncultured bacterium. RNAcentral describes it as "partial 16S ribosomal RNA". It matches the Rfam family "Bacterial small subunit ribosomal RNA", at positions 524 to 776 of the family's 1533-position model. The record is from RNAcentral.
UACGUAGGGCGCAAGCGUUGUCCGGAAUUACUGGGCGUAAAGAGCUCGUAGGCGGCUUGUCGCGUCGGUUGUGAAAGCCCGGGGCUUAACCCCGGGUCUGCAGUCGAUACGGGCAGGCUAGAGUGUGGUAGGGGAGAUCGGAAUUCCUGGUGUAGCGGUGAAAUGCGCAGAUAUCAGGAGGAACACCGGUGGCGAAGGCGGAUCUCUGGGCCAUUACUGACGCUGAGGAGCGAAAGCGUGGGGAGCGAACAGG